UCUGUGGAGAGUUAUACCAAACUAGAGUAGUAGAAAUAUGAAAUAGGACUUGAUGAAACAGAAA
This 64-nucleotide non-coding RNA is filed under the name unclassified sequences. The record is from Rfam.